Molecule: ribosomal RNA, 492 nt
Filed under: uncultured bacterium
Lineage: Bacteria
Description: partial 16S ribosomal RNA
Rfam family: Bacterial small subunit ribosomal RNA
Source: RNAcentral
AGUGAACGCUGGCGGUAGGCCUAACACAUGCAAGUCGAACGGCAGCACAGUAAGAGCUUGCUCUUACGGGUGGCGAGUGGCGGACGGGUGAGGAAUACAUCGGAAUCUACUUUUUCGUGGGGGGUAACGUAGGGAAACUUACGCUAAUACCGCAUACGACCUACGGGUGAAAGCAGGGGAUCUUCGGACCUUGCGCGAUUGAAUGAGCCGAUGUCGGCUUAGCUAGUUGGCGGGGUAAAGGCCCACCAAGGCGACGAUCCGUAGCUGGUCUGAGAGGAUGAUCAGCCACACUGGAACUGAGACACGGUCCAGACUCCGACGGGAGGCAGCAGUGGGGAAUAUUGGACAAUGGGCGCAAGCCUGAUCCAGCCAUACCGCGUGGGUGAAGAAGGCCUUCGGGUUGUAAAGCCCUUUUGUUGGGAAAGAAAAGCAGCAGGUUAAUACCCCGCUGUUCUGACGGUACCCAAAGAAUAAGCACCGGCUAACUUCGUG